Eriocheir sinensis (Chinese mitten crab) is the source of this 1619-nucleotide long non-coding RNA. RefSeq lists it as uncharacterized. The transcript has 2 exons. The record is from RefSeq and is a predicted model, not a curated record. Lineage: Eukaryota; Metazoa; Arthropoda; Malacostraca; Decapoda; Varunidae.
GAGUUCUGUCAGUCGGAGGGCCGGGCCUAACAUGUUUACACUUUCAGUUUCCUGUCAGGUGCGUCGUAAUCCAGUCGAUAACCCGCCCUUCUCGUCACUAUAUAAAUAUAUCUCUUCGACGCUGCUCCGUCAACAGGACUGUUAAGCCCUUGGAAACUGUUACUCCCUUUAUGAACAUUGUCUUUACGUCUGUGUCUUGACUCUCCCUUGAUAAUAUCUUGUUUGAUCAUCAAUUGGCUAAAGAUGCAAGGUCCAGGGGCAAUAAUCCUAACAGUAGUAAAGCAUCCUACCAGCUCAAAUAUCAUGAGUCCUUCGGGUGCAUACUCUGUCUCCCAGAAUGGGUUAAGUUAGGAACCGCUUAACAAGUGAAUCGACCUUUCCUAUGUAUUGUUGGCAUGGAAUGACCUAGAAGAUAAAAGCAGUUUGGAUUUACUACUCGAGAAAGGGUGCUGACACAAGCCGACGUCGACCUAACGCUUGGCACCGACGGAACUAUAUAACCAUAAUCAAAGCUUGGACUUCUUGCAACGACAUGAUGAAAACUACGACUUCAAGCAAAAGAAUCAGGCGCAGAACAAUUACAAUCAAAAGCAACAGAACACUCCAAAACCCAUCCAAUUUCCUGAACAAGACAGACGGGCCUGACUAGUCUCCCUGGCUGGCUCGCGAGGCAGUUGAAGGGAGGAUAAAAGUUUGAUUGGUUACUUCAUGGAGCGACUGGCAGAUGGACACUGAUUGCCCGGCUGGCUGCUUCUUUUGCUGCUGCUGCUGCUGCUGUUGCCGGCCCCUUCCCCUUCCACGUAGGGUUGUCUGCAGCACGAGGACUACAGGGUUAGCAGCGUCAGCCAUUUUCAACACCAACAGCUUCAUAAAUUGGGAUCAUAACUUACUAUGUACACUUGGCAUUAAAUGUGUGACUGACCAAUAGGCGAACUAAGAGAAGCAACCCACCUCGACAGCUCACUAAACUGGGAGGAAAAAUUACUGUGUACACUUCCUAUUAAUGUUGAACUGACUGACGGACCAACUGAGAGAGGAACGCACAUACCCACGGAAUACUUUAUGAUCCUAAUGAACGAUGCAGUGCCUCAAGUGCUCACUGACCAGUUUCUUUUCUGACGAGUGUGAUAUAUACUGCUGUUGUUGGACAGGGUUGCGGAACUGGACUCAGAAUAGCUUGAAUUAGCUUUUAUUAACUUAUAUAACCCAACACUUAAAACGGGUAGCAGUAGUAGUAAAAGUAGUAGCAAUAAAAUUGUAGUAGUAGUAGUAGUAGUAGUAGUAGUAGUAGUAGUAGUAGUAGUAGUAGUAGUAGUUGUUGUUGUUGUUGUUGUGGUGGUGGUGGUGGUAAAAGGGAUAGCAAUCGAUUAAAGCGGUAAAUAACGAAAUAAUGUAAGUUUACACACACACACACAGCACCCCACCCCACACACACACACACACCUUAAAACCUCUGGCUGUAAGUGUGCGUGAAAAAGAAAGAAAGAGAGAGAGAGAGAGAGAGAGAGAGAGAGAGAGAGAGAGAGAGAGAGAGAGAGAGAGAGAGAGAGAGAGAGAGAGAGAGAGAGAGAGAGAGAGAGAGAGAGAGAGAGAGAGAGAGAGAGAGAGAGAGAGAGAGA